Non-coding RNA from Cinara cedri, 260 nucleotides. The record is from the annotation of a GenBank genome assembly. NCBI's taxonomy places the organism in Eukaryota, Metazoa, Arthropoda, Insecta, Hemiptera, Aphididae.
UUAAACAGUAAUUAAAAUAUUAAAGUGUGGACGUAAAUAUAUAUUUUGUAAAUUGUAUAAUUUAUUGUGGUCAAAUUAUAUAAAAAAAAAAAAAAUUGAAAUGUAUUAACUUGGCGUGGUUUAAUAUUUAAAAUUAACUCGUAGUUUAUUGAGUAUUGGGUAUUCGGUUUAUAGUUAAUGGAGAAUCAAAGUUUGAAAAGCAUGUUUAAAGUUCAAAUCGACAUUUUAUAGCUUUUUAAUUAAUUCGUUAAAUGCCCAGU